This is a long non-coding RNA of Maniola jurtina (meadow brown), 175 nucleotides long. RefSeq lists it as uncharacterized. NCBI's taxonomy places the organism in Eukaryota, Metazoa, Arthropoda, Insecta, Lepidoptera, Nymphalidae. The record is from RefSeq and is a predicted model, not a curated record. The transcript has 3 exons.
ACUCAGCAUAAAUAGAGCAACCGGUAGGAAAUAUUGUACUUCGACUUUUGGAAAGAGAUAGCUGUUUCAUAGAGCGUUGUCUCUGUCGUUGAGACCGACAAAACGUCACAUAGGUAUGAGUGAUAGAGACAACGCUCUACGACGCCGAAAUCCCUUUCUAAAGGUCGAUGUACAA